CCUACGGGGGGCUGCAGUGGGGAAUAUUGGACAAUGGGGGGAACCCUGAUCCAGCCAUGCCGCGUGUGUGAAGAAGGCCCUCGGGUUGUAAAGCACUUUCAGUGAGGAAGAACGCCUGGUGGUUAAUACCCAUCAGGAAAGACAUCACUCACAGAAGAAGCACCGGCUAACUCCGUGCCAGCAGCCGCGGUAAUACGGAGGGUGCGAGCGUUAAUCGGAAUUACUGGGCGUAAAGCGCGCGUAGGUGGCUUGAUAAGCCGGUUGUGAAAGCCCGGGGCUCAACCUGGGAACGGCAUCCGGAACUGUCAAGCUAGAGUGCAGGAGAGGAAGGUAGAAUUCCCGGUGUAGCGGUGAAAUGCGUAGAGAUCGGGAGGAAUACCAGUGGCGAAGGCGGCCUUCUGGACUGACACUGACACUGAGGUGCGAAAGCGUGGGUAGCAAACAGGAUUAGAUACCCCGGUAGUC
RNAcentral lists this ribosomal RNA (465 nucleotides) under Vreelandella stevensii. RNAcentral's name for it is "partial 16S ribosomal RNA". It matches the Rfam family "Bacterial small subunit ribosomal RNA", at positions 338 to 795 of the family's 1533-position model. Lineage: Bacteria; Pseudomonadati; Pseudomonadota; Gammaproteobacteria; Oceanospirillales; Halomonadaceae. The record is from RNAcentral.